AACGUAGGAGGCAAGCGUUAUCCGGAUUUACUGGGCGUAAAGCGCAUGCAGGUGGCUCUGCAAGUCUGGUGUGAAAGCCCCUGGCUUAACUGGGGGAGUGCGCUGGAAACUGCGGGGCUGGAGGUCGGAAGAGGAAAGCGGAAUUCCCGGUGUAGUGGUGGAAUGCGUAGAUAUCGGGAGGAACACCAGUGGCGAAGGCGGCUUUCUGGUCCGGACCUGACACUAAGAUGCGAAAGCGUGGGGAGCGAACGGG
This 253-nucleotide ribosomal RNA is filed under the name uncultured bacterium. RNAcentral describes it as "partial 16S ribosomal RNA". It matches the Rfam family "Bacterial small subunit ribosomal RNA", at positions 524 to 776 of the family's 1533-position model. The record is from RNAcentral.